RNAcentral lists this transfer RNA (78 nucleotides) under Gammaproteobacteria bacterium. Its description in RNAcentral is "tRNA-Glu". It matches the Rfam family "tRNA". From Rfam's summary of the family: Transfer RNA (tRNA) molecules are approximately 80 nucleotides in length. Their secondary structure includes four short double-helical elements and three loops (D, anti-codon, and T loops). Further hydrogen bonds mediate the characteristic L-shaped molecular structure. tRNAs have two regions of fundamental functional importance: the anti-codon, which is responsible for specific mRNA codon recognition, and the 3' end, to which the tRNAs corresponding amino acid is attached (by aminoacyl-tRNA synthetases). tRNAs cope with the degeneracy of the genetic code in two manners: having more than one tRNA (with a specific anti-codon) for a particular amino acid; and 'wobble' base-pairing, i.e. permitting non-standard base-pairing at the 3rd anti-codon position. The record is from RNAcentral. Lineage: Bacteria; Pseudomonadati; Pseudomonadota; Gammaproteobacteria.
GUCCCCUUCGUCUAGUUUGGUCUAGGACACCAGGUUUUCAUCCUGGCAACAGGGGUUCGAAUCCCCUAGGGGACGCCA